CUGCUGCCUCCCGUAGGAGUUUGGGCCGNGUCUCAGUCCCAAUGUGGCCGAUCAACCUCUCAGUUCGGCUACGCAUCAUUGCCUUGGUAAGCCUUUACCCCACCAACUAGCUAAUGCGCCGCGGGCCCAUCCAAAAGCGGUAGCAUAGCCACCUUUUACAUAGU
This 164-nucleotide ribosomal RNA is filed under the name uncultured bacterium. RNAcentral describes it as "partial 16S ribosomal RNA". The record is from RNAcentral.